CCUACGGGCGGCAGCAGUGGGGAAUAUUGGGCAAUGGACGCAACCCUGACCCAGCAACGCCGCGUGAAGGAUGAAGGCUUUCGGGUUGUAAAGUUCUUUUCACAGGGAAGAGGAAAAUGCGGUUCCUUUCGAAUUAGCCCCGGCGAACUUAGUUCCCACAGCCGCGGGAAGUCGUAGGUGGCGAACGUUAACCGGAUUGACCGGGGGUAAAGGGCGGGUAGGCGGGUUGGCAAGUCUGAUGUGGAACCCCGAGGCUUAACCGUGGAACUUCUUUUGAAACUGUUGGACUUGAGUUCAGGAGGGGCAGGCGGAAUUCCUAGUGUAGCGGUGGAAUGCGUAGAUAUUAGGAGGAACACCAGUGGCGAAGGCGGGUUGCUGGACAGUAACUGACGGUGAGGCGCGAAAGCGUGGGGAGCAAACAGGAUUAGAUACCCUAGUAGUC
Molecule: ribosomal RNA, 442 nt
Filed under: uncultured bacterium
Lineage: Bacteria
Description: partial 16S ribosomal RNA
Rfam family: Bacterial small subunit ribosomal RNA
Source: RNAcentral